UCCAUCCUUCCAUCCAUCCAUCUUUCCUUCCAUCCAUCCAAAAGCUUUUCCUGCUUUUUUAUGGAAUCGAAUGAGAAUCGCUAUUAAAAACAAUACCAACCAUGACUGACUUUUAAUGUCUCUCGCCCUUCUUUGGACUGUGCUAACAAACCUCCAAACGAGCUUCAAUGCCAUACAACACUCCUUCCGAGGCCUCCAUCUGCUUUUACAUGCAAGUAAAACUAAGUGCAUGAUCUUCAACAGAUUGCUGCCCACAUCUUCCCGCCCGACUAGCAUCACUACUCUGGACGGUUCUGACUUAGAAUAUGUUGACAACUACAAAUAUCUGGGUGUCUGGUUAGACCGUAAACUCUCCUUCCAGACUUCCAGACUAAACAUCUCCAAUCCAAAAUUAAAUCUGGAAUCGGCUUCCUAUUUCGCAAACAAAGCCUCCUUUACUCAUGCUGCCAAACAUACCCUCGUAAAACUGACUAUCCUGCCGAUCCUUGACUUCGGCGAUGUCAUUUACAAAAUAGUCUCCAGCCCUCUACUCAGCAAACUGGAUGUAGUCUAUCACAGUGCUAUCCAUUUUGUCACCAAAACCCCAUACAAUACCCCUACCCACCACUGCGACCUGUAUGCUCUCGUUGGCUGGCCCUCAAUACAUAUAUUCUUUGCCAAACCCACUGGCUCCAGGUCAUCUAUAAGUCUAUGCUAGGUAAAGCCCGCCUUAUCUCAGCUUACUGGUCACCAUUGCAACACCCACCCAUAGCACGCGCUCCAGCAGGUAUAUUUCACUGGUCAUCCCCAAAGCCAACACUUCCUUUGGCUGACUUUCCUUCCAGUUCUCUGCUGUCAAUGAUUGGAACGCAUUGCAAAAAUCACUGUAGCUGGUGUCUUAUAUCUCCCUCGCUAACUUUAAGCAUCAGCGGUCAAACAGCUUACCGAUCACUGUACCUGUACACAGCCAAUCUGUAAAUUGCACACCCAACUAUCUCAUCCCCAUAUUGUUACUUGUCCUCUUGCUCUUUUGCACCCCAGUAUCUUUCCUUGCACAUCAUCAUCUGCACAUCUAUCACUCCAGUGUUAUUGCUAAAUUGUAAUUAUUUUGCCUCUAUGGCCUAUUUAUUGCCUUACCUCCCUACUCUUCUACAUUUGCACACACUGUACAUAGAUUUUUCUAUUGUGUUAUUGACUGUACGUUUGUUUAUGCGUAACUCUGUGUUGUUGUUUUUGUCGCACUGCUUUGCUUUAUCUUGGUCAGGUCGCAGUUAUAAAUGAGAACUUGUUCUCAGCUGGCCUACCUGGUUAAAUAAAGUUCAAAAAAUUAAAUAUAUAUAUUUUUAAAAUCACUGUUUCUGUUAUAUUAUAGGUGGAAGUCAACCCCUCGUUAGACAUGGCUGAGUCAGACUUCCAGAACAACGUGAUGAGAUGUCGAUGCAAAUACGACGGACACAGAGCGUACAUGUAUGGAUGUCACGCAGGUGAUGCGUACAGUGCAGAGAUUGAGGACCUGUUUGAUCACCAAAGGCAGAUCUCCAAUAACUUUGUCUAGGCCCAUCCAGGGCCCAGCGUUGGCCCAGGCUGGUGCCCAGCAAAGAGGGCUCAGAGCUGGAGCCAAAACUGCUCAGGGUGCCCUGGGGUCUGGAGGUCUGGUGGGUCGUGGGAUCCUGCCCCACAACACUAGGGGACUCACAAAAUGGCACCUGUCCACUGCCCUUACCUGCUGUGGACUACACUACCCAGAAUAAACCACAACUAGGAGACCAUUACCCUGACUAUAGCUUUCGACCCCAACAGCCAAUAGAAACUGAGAGCAGGACAGAUGUCACCAGGGAAACCAAAUGAUUUCAGUUAACAAUGGAGGGUUACAAUGAUAUGGAUUCAAUCAAGGUUUAGGUAUUUUGUUAGUUUAUGAAUGUGGACUACUAGUAACUUAGCUACUCAAAAUUUCUGUGAAUUAAUUCAUUUCAAUUAAAGUUGAAAUUAUAAUUGUACAUCUAACAUACCAACCUGAUCAAAGAGCAUUUCGUAUGAUUAUGUAUGUAAAUCCCUGAUACUCCUUUUCGUAUGAUAUGUUACAUUUCGUAUGGUAUGUAUCAAUUUGUGGAUGUCCAUCACCCAUUUCAUAUACUUUGUUCAUAUUAUAUGUUAGGAAUUUUCUAAAUUCAAAACAGGUUACGAAUUUACAAAACACAUGAUAUUUUAUGAAUUCUAGUAAAGUGGCUAGCUGGCUAAUGUUAGCUAGGCUAGGGGUUAGGGUUAUGUUUAGGAGUUAGGUUAAAGGUUUAAGGUUAGGGUUAGGGGAAGGGUUAUCUAACAUGCUAAGUAGUAGCAAAGUAGCUAUAAGGCAGUAAGUAGUUAAAAAGUUGCUAAUUUGCUAAAAUAGUCAAGUUGACCGUGAUGAGAUUCAAACUCGCAAACUUUGGGUUGCUAGACGUUUGCGUUAAUUGCCUACUGAUCCACCCUGACCAACCACCCAUACGCCCACCCGUCCACCCCACCACCACCCAUACGCCCACCCGUCCACCCCC
Oncorhynchus tshawytscha (Chinook salmon) is the source of this 2513-nucleotide long non-coding RNA. Lineage: Eukaryota; Metazoa; Chordata; Actinopteri; Salmoniformes; Salmonidae. The record is from Ensembl.